GGCGGCAGUGCAUGAGGCGAUGCACAGAGCAGCGGGCCACUUGUCUGAAACAGCGGAUGG
This 60-nucleotide non-coding RNA is filed under the name Karenia brevis. The record is from RNAcentral. Lineage: Eukaryota; Dinophyceae; Gymnodiniales; Kareniaceae.